ACUCCUACGGGAGGCAGCAGUGAGGAAUAUUGGUCAAUGGGCGCAAGCCUGAACCAGCCAUCCCGCGUGCAGGAAGACGGCCCUAUGGGUUGUAAACUGCUUUUCCAGGGAGAGAAACCUGCGCACGUGUUGCGCAAUUGACGGUACCCUGGGAAUAAGCAUCGGCUAACUCCGUGCCGGCAGCCGCGGUAAUACGGAGGAUGCAAGCGUUAUCCGGAUUCAUUGGGUUUAAAGGGUGCGUAGGCGGACUAUUAAGUCAGUGGUGAAAGCCUGCAGCUUAACUGCAGAACUGCCAUUGAUACUGAUAGUCUUGAGUUUGGUUAAGGUAGGCGGAAUGUGUAAUGUAGCGGUGAAAUGCUUAGAUAUUACACAGAACACCAAUUGCGUAGGCAGCUUACUGAGCCGACACUGACGCUGAGGCACGAAAGCGUGGGGAUCGAACAGGAUUAGAUACCCUGGUAAUC
Molecule: ribosomal RNA, 464 nt
Filed under: uncultured bacterium
Lineage: Bacteria
Description: bacterial SSU rRNA
Rfam family: Bacterial small subunit ribosomal RNA
Source: RNAcentral